RNAcentral lists this ribosomal RNA (460 nucleotides) under uncultured bacterium. RNAcentral's name for it is "partial 16S ribosomal RNA". It matches the Rfam family "Bacterial small subunit ribosomal RNA", at positions 338 to 795 of the family's 1533-position model. The record is from RNAcentral.
CCUACGUGAGUCAGCAGUGCGGAAUAUUGGUCAAUGGGCGAGAGCCUGAACCAGCAAAGUAGCGUGAAGGAUGCCUGCCCUACGGUUUGUCAACUUCUUUUAUAAAGGAAUAAAGUGAGGCACGUGUGCCUUCUUGUCUGUACUUUAUUAAUUAAGAUCGUCUCACUCCGUUCCAGCCGCCGCGGUAAUACGGAGGGUCCGAGCGUUCUCUGGAUUUAUUUGGUUUACAGGGAGUGUAGAUGGGUUGUUAAGUCAGUUGUGAAAGUUUGCGGCUCAACAGUAAAAUUGCAAUUGAUACUGGCAGCCUUGAGUACAGUUGAGGUAGGCGGAAUUCGUGGUGUAGCGGUGAAAUGCUUAGAUAUCACGAAGAACUCCGAUUGCGAAGGCAGCUUACUAAACUGCCACUGACAUUGAUGCUCGAAAGUGUGGGUAUCAAACAGGAUGAGAUACCCUGGUAGUC